GGACGAACGCUGGCGGCGUGCUUAACACAUGCAAGUCGAACGGGAGUAUUGAAGAAGCUUGCUUUAGAGAUACUUUAGUGGCGGACGGGUGAGUAACGCGUGAGGAGCUGUCCUAUGCAGGGGGACAACAGCUGGAAACGGCUGCUAAUACCCCAUAAGCCGAGAGGUAUAAGGAUCAAUCCGGCAGAAGAGGUACUCUCGUCCUAUCAGCUAGUAGGUGAGGUAACGGCUCACCUAGGCGAAUACGGGUAGCCGGCCUGAGAGGGCGAACGGCCACUCUGGAACUGAGAUACGGUCCAGACUCCUACGGGAGGCAGCACUGGGGAAUAUUGGGCAAUGGGGGAAACCCUGACCCAGCGACGCCGCGUGGGUGAAGAAAUCCUUCGGGAUGUAAAGCCCUGUUGUCUGGGAAGAGCGGAAGACGGUACCAUACGA
Molecule: ribosomal RNA, 435 nt
Filed under: uncultured bacterium
Lineage: Bacteria
Description: bacterial SSU rRNA
Rfam family: Bacterial small subunit ribosomal RNA
Source: RNAcentral